This 253-nucleotide ribosomal RNA is filed under the name uncultured bacterium. RNAcentral describes it as "partial 16S ribosomal RNA". It matches the Rfam family "Bacterial small subunit ribosomal RNA", at positions 524 to 776 of the family's 1533-position model. The record is from RNAcentral.
CACGUAGGGGGCGAGCGUUGUCCGGAUUUAUUGGGCGUAAAGAGCUCGUAGGCGGCUCAGUAAGUCAGGUGUGAAAACUCCAGGCUCAACCUGGAGACGCCACCUGAUACUGCCGGGCUAGAGUCCGGAAGAGGCGAGUGGAAUUCCUGGUGUAGCGGUGGAAUGCGCAGAUAUCAGGAGGAACACCAAUAGCGAAGGCAGCUCGCUGGGACGGUACUGACGCUAAGGCGCGAAAGCGUGGGGAGCGAACAGG